Long non-coding RNA from Cynoglossus semilaevis (tongue sole), 1056 nucleotides. RefSeq lists it as uncharacterized. The transcript has 8 exons. The record is from RefSeq and is a predicted model, not a curated record. Lineage: Eukaryota; Metazoa; Chordata; Actinopteri; Pleuronectiformes; Cynoglossidae.
UUCUGAUUACAUCGACUUAAGUGAAAUUUUAUUUUUUUGAAUAAAAUCAAAGGGAGAACAGUGAUGAAACCGGAGGAUCGUCCUACCUUGGCAGUCCUUGAGAGCAGCGUCGAUGGCAUUGGCGGAAAGGACGGAUGUAGAACUGAUACAAGGAAUAUUAAAAAAUAAAUCUUCAGUGUCUCCACGGCGCAGCCACUUACCGUGUUGAGGGGGAACUCGCCCGGUCGGUGAUCCAGCAGAGGAGGCAAAAAUGAUGACUGCAGCUUGUCUUUUCCGGGGACAUUCGUGGCUCCCGGGGAGUGCGACAUAAACAACUUUAAGGAUGAUUAAGCACAUUCCCAGGAGAGCCUUCACUGCAGUGGAGCACUGUGGGGAAACUGAUACCUCCCUUCAAUAUGUAAGGUCUUGUUGGAAAACUGUGGCCAGUUUCUGUGAGAACUCACCAUCAACUCCGAUCUUGCCAUCACCAUCACUGUCACCAGCGGCAAGGAAGGCCUUGGUCUCCUUGUCAGUGAGAGCUCUGGCACCAGCAGAGAAGUUCUGCAGGAACAGCCUGUCAGGUGAACACAAGGGGAGAGCAGAAGUUAAAAUGAGAAGAUCACAGAACUCUGCAGGGAGGGGGAAAAAGGAGGAUUCAGUUUUCUAUGUUUUUUCAGAUGGACCCACCUUCCAUCCCAAUCUUCCCGUCAUUGUCUUUGUCUCCUGCAGACAUGAGCGUCUUGGUCUCGACCGCAGACAGCUCCCGUGCUCCAGGAGAGAAGUUCUGUAGAAACAGUCUGAUGGAUUGGAGAAAAAUGAAUUAAGUGCUCCGAUGAGUCCCACUUGUGCAAAGAAGGACCUGAAGUCGAAGCUGCCUGGAGCUACAAAGGAAGAAGAAGGAGACAAAGAGAGAGAAAGGCAGAGAGUGAGAGAGUUGAAUGGUGGAGAUGCCGUAUGCAAAGGUACUAUGGAGGAUGUGUUCUUGCUUUAAUGAUGACAUCCUUGCCAAGUCGGGGUCCCAAGUGUCCCAGCCUGUGCGUGUGCGCACUACUUUGACUCACCUUGACAAGCCUGGAC